RNAcentral lists this ribosomal RNA (253 nucleotides) under uncultured bacterium. RNAcentral describes it as "partial 16S ribosomal RNA". It matches the Rfam family "Bacterial small subunit ribosomal RNA", at positions 524 to 776 of the family's 1533-position model. The record is from RNAcentral.
UACGUAGGGGGCAAGCGUUGUCCGGAUUUAUUGGGCGUAAAGAGCGUGUAGGCGGCCAAGCAGGUCCGCUGUGAAAACUCGAGGCUCAACCUCGAGACGUCGGUGGAAACCGUUUGGCUAGAGUCCGGAAGAGGAGAGUGGAAUUCCCGGUGUAGCGGUGAAAUGCGCAGAUAUCGGGAAGAACACCCGUGGCGAAGGCGGCUCUCUGGGAAGAUACUGACGCUGAGGUGCGAAAGCGUGGGGAGCAAACAGG